Molecule: ribosomal RNA, 253 nt
Filed under: uncultured bacterium
Lineage: Bacteria
Description: partial 16S ribosomal RNA
Rfam family: Bacterial small subunit ribosomal RNA
Source: RNAcentral
UACGUAGGUGGCAAGCGUUGUCCGGAUUUACUGGGCGUAAAGAGCGCGCAGGCGGUCGUUCAAGUCGCGUGUGAAAGCCCCCGGCUCAACUGGGGAGGGUCACGCGAUACUGAUCGACUCGAAGGCAGGAGAGGGUAGUGGAAUUCCCGGUGUAGUGGUGAAAUGCGCAGAUAUCAGGAGGAACACCGGUGGCGAAGGCGGGUCUCUGGGCCGAUACUGACGCUGAGGCGCGAAAGCUAGGGGAGCAAACGGG